This 448-nucleotide ribosomal RNA is filed under the name uncultured bacterium. RNAcentral's name for it is "partial 16S ribosomal RNA". It matches the Rfam family "Bacterial small subunit ribosomal RNA", at positions 330 to 793 of the family's 1533-position model. The record is from RNAcentral.
CCCAGACUCCUACGGGAGGCAGCAGUGGGGGAUAUUGCACAAUGGGGGAAACCCUGAUGCAGCGACGCUGCGUGGGCGAAGAAGUAUUUCGGUAUGUAAAGCCCUAUCAGCAGGGAAGAAGAAAUGACGGUACCUGAGUAAGAAGCACCGGCUAAAUACGUGCCAGCAGCCGCGGUAAUACGUAUGGUGCAAGCGUUAUCCGGAUUUACUGGGUGUAAAGGGAGCGUAGACGGCGAUGCAAGUCUGAAGUGAAAGGCGGGGGCCCAACCCCCGGACUGCUUUGGAAACUGUAUAGCUGGAGUGCAGGAGAGGUAAGUGGAAUUCCUAGUGUAGCGGUGAAAUGCGUAGAUAUUAGGAGGAACACCAGUGGCGAAGGCGGCUUACUGGACUGUAACUGACGUUGAGGCUCGAAAGCGUGGGGAGCAAACAGGAUUAGAUACCCCCGUAA